GGUAACAAUUAUACUGCGGAUUCCAGUCAGUGACCAGCCACUACUGGGUCGUACCCUUUUCACCGAUGCUUCAGGGAAAACUGGGAAAUUUGCUGUGUUGUGGCACGAUGGGUGACUAAGUCUGGAUCAAAGGAGAAGGGGACAGACUAACAUCAGAAGAGAAUGGCAAACUGCUCCUUCUUCACAGAUGAAAGAGAAAAACGAGUCUGAAUCCAAGGUAUAACACCAUUAAAAACAUCAAAAAGCAUA
Non-coding RNA from Phasianus colchicus (ring-necked pheasant), 249 nucleotides. Lineage: Eukaryota; Metazoa; Chordata; Aves; Galliformes; Phasianidae. The record is from RefSeq and is a predicted model, not a curated record.